Molecule: ribosomal RNA, 428 nt
Filed under: Bacillus amyloliquefaciens
Lineage: Bacteria; Bacillati; Bacillota; Bacilli; Caryophanales; Bacillaceae
Description: bacterial SSU rRNA
Rfam family: Bacterial small subunit ribosomal RNA
Source: RNAcentral
CUCCCUGAUGUUAGCGGCGGACGGGUGAGUAACACGUGGGUAACCUGCCUGUAAGACUGGGAUAACUCCGGGAAACCGGGGCUAAUACCGGAUGCUUGUUUGAACCGCAUGGUUCAGACAUAAAAGGUGGCUUCGGCUACCACUUACAGAUGGACCCGCGGCGCAUUAGCUAGUUGGUGAGGUAACGGCUCACCAAGGCAACGAUGCGUAGCCGACCUGAGAGGGUGAUCGGCCACACUGGGACUGAGACACGGCCCAGACACCUACGGGAGGCAGCAGUAGGGAAUCUUCCGCAAUGGACGAAAGUCUGACGGAGCAACGCCGCGUGAGUGAUGAAGGUUUUCGGAUCGUAAAGCUCUGUUGUUAGGGAAGAACAAGUGCCGUUCAAAUAGGGCGGCACCUUGACGGUACCUAACCAGAAAGCCACG